RNAcentral lists this unclassified non-coding RNA (395 nucleotides) under soil metagenome. Its description in RNAcentral is "partial contains 5.8S ribosomal RNA, internal transcribed spacer 2, and large subunit ribosomal RNA". The stretch from base 1 to 121 matches the Rfam family "5.8S ribosomal RNA", at positions 35 to 154 of the family's 154-position model. The record is from RNAcentral.
GAUGAAGAACGCAGCGAACGUGCGAAACGUAAUGUGAAAUGCAGAAUUCAGUGAAUCAUCGAAUCUUUGAACGCAUCUUGCGCUCCUUGGUAUUCCGAGGAGCAUGCCUGUUUGAGUGUCGUGAAUACUCUCAACUUCAACCCUUUUUUCGGAAAGGGAGGAAGGUUGGACUUGGGUGUUUGUUGAAGUGCGAGCUUCGACUCAUCCUAAAUGCAUUAGCGAUCUGCCUCGAUCACACACAAUGUGAUAAUUAAAACUAAAGCAUUGUUUAAUGAUCAAGUCGAGACUGCUUCUAACUGUCGCAAGACAAUAACGUGCAUACAUUUGUGCAUGUCAUUUGACCUCAAAUCAGGUAGGACUACCCGCUGAACUUAAGCAUAUCAAUAAGCGGAGGA